CCUACAGGAGGCAGCAGUAGGGAAUUUUCGUCAAUGGGCGCAAGCCUGAACGAGCAAUGCCGCGUGAACGAGGAAGGUCUUCGGAUCGUAAAGUUCUGUUGAAGGGGAAAAAGAGCGGAGAGAGGAAAUGCUUUCUGAUUGAUAUUACCCUUCGAGGAAGUCACGGCUAACUGCGUGCCAGCAGCCGCGGUAAUACGUAGGGUGCGAGCGUUAAUCGGAAUUACUGGGCGUAAAGGGUGCGCAGGCGGUUGAGUAAGACAGAUGUGAAAUCCCCGAGCUUAACUCGGGAAUGGCAUAUGUGACUG
Molecule: ribosomal RNA, 305 nt
Filed under: uncultured bacterium
Lineage: Bacteria
Description: bacterial SSU rRNA
Rfam family: Bacterial small subunit ribosomal RNA
Source: RNAcentral